GGCGCGCCUAACACAUGCAAGUCGAACGUGAAAGGGAGCAAUCCUAAGUAAAGUGGCGCACGGGUGCGUAACACGUAGAUAAUCUGCCCUUCGUUGGGGGAUAACGUUCCGAAAGGAGCGCUAAUACCGCAUACAGCACUUGGGGGUUUGCUCCUGGGUGGCAAAGGUUGGGAUUCGCAAGAACCAAUCGACGAAGGAGGAGCCUGCGGCCCAUCAGCUAGUUGGUGAGGUAAUGGCUCACCAAGGCAGAGACGGGUAGCUGGUCUGAGAGGAUGAUCAGCCACACUGGUACUGGAACACGGACCAGACUCCUACGGGAGGCAGCAGUGGGGAAUCUUGGUCAAUGGGCGCAAGCCUGAACCAGCGACGCCGCGUGAGUGAUGAAGGCCUUCGGGUUGUAAAGCUCUGUGGGGAGAGACGAAAGAGCAUGUUCUAACAGGACGUGUGUUGACGGUAUCUCCUUAGCAAGCACCGGCUAACUCUGUGCCAGCAGCCGCGGUAAGACAGAGGGUGCAAACGUUGCUCGGAAUCACUGGGCGUAAAGGGCGUGUAGGCGGGAAGGAAAGUCAGAUGUGAAAUCCCUGGGCUCAACCCAGGAACUGCAUUUGAAACUCCCUUUCUUGAGUGUCGGAGAGGAAAGCGGAAUUCCUGGUGUAGAGGUGAAAUUCGUAGAUAUCAGGAGGAACACCGGUGGCGAAGGCGGCUUUCUGGACGAUAACUGACCGCUAGACGCAAAAGCG
RNAcentral lists this ribosomal RNA (740 nucleotides) under uncultured soil bacterium. RNAcentral's name for it is "bacterial SSU rRNA". It matches the Rfam family "Bacterial small subunit ribosomal RNA", at positions 41 to 761 of the family's 1533-position model. The record is from RNAcentral.